Molecule: ribosomal RNA, 593 nt
Filed under: Halothece sp. ET5
Lineage: Bacteria; Bacillati; Cyanobacteriota; Cyanophyceae; Chroococcales; Halothecacae
Description: bacterial SSU rRNA
Rfam family: Bacterial small subunit ribosomal RNA
Source: RNAcentral
CCGUUGGAAACGACGGCUAAUCCCCAAUAAGCCGAAAGGUGAAACGGGAUUCCGCCUGGAGAGGAGCUCGCGUCCGAUUAGUUAGUUGGUGGGGUAAAAGCCUACCAAGGCAGCGAUCGGUAGCUGGUCUGAGAGGAUGAGCAGCCACACUGGGACUGAGACACGGCCCAGACUCCUACGGGAGGCAGCAGUGGGGAAUUUUCCGCAAUGGGCGAAAGCCUGACGGAGCAACGCCGCGUGUGGGAAGAAGGCUCUUGGGCUGUCAACCACUUUUCUCAGGGAAGAAGAACUGACGGUACCUGAGGAAUCAGCCUCGGCUAACUCCGUGCCAGCAGCCGCGGUAAUACGGAGGAGGCAAGCGUUAUCCGGAAUUAUUGGGCGUAAAGCGUCCGCAGGGGGCGCAUCAAGUCUGCUGUUAAAGGUCGGAGCUCAACUCCGGUAGAGCAGUGGAAACUGGUGCGCUAGAGGGCGACAGGGGUAGAGGGAAUUCCCAGUGUAGCGGUGAAAUGCGUAGAGAUUGGGAAGAACACCGGUGGCGAAAGCGCUCUACUGGGUCGCACCUGACCCUCAGGGACGAAAGCUAAGGUAGCGAA